RNAcentral lists this ribosomal RNA (437 nucleotides) under uncultured bacterium. Its description in RNAcentral is "bacterial SSU rRNA". It matches the Rfam family "Bacterial small subunit ribosomal RNA", at positions 1000 to 1434 of the family's 1533-position model. The record is from RNAcentral.
GCCGAAAGGCGGGGGUGCCCGCAAGGGAGCGCGGAGACAGGUGGUGCAUGGCUGUCGUCAGCUCGUGUCGUGAGAUGUUGGGUUAAGUCCCGCAACGAGCGCAACCCUCACCCCUUGUUGCCACCAGGUUAUGCUGGGCACUCUAGAAGAACUGCCCCGAUCAACGGGGAAGAAAGCGGGAACGACGUCAAGUCAUCAUACCCCUUACGUCCUGGGCUACACACGUGCUACAAUGGCCGGUACAGAGGGAUGCAAGACCGCGAGGUGGAGCUAAACCCAAAAAGCCGAUCUAAGUUCAGAUUGGAGUCUGCAACUCGACUCCAUGAAGGAGGAAUCGCUAAUAAUCGCGUAUCAGCACAACGCGGUGAAUACGUUCCCGGGCCUUGUACACACCGCCCAUCACACCACGAAAGCCAAUUGUACUCGAAGUCGCUGAG